Ipomoea nil (Japanese morning glory) is the source of this 170-nucleotide long non-coding RNA. RefSeq lists it as uncharacterized. The transcript is spliced from 2 exons. The record is from RefSeq and is a predicted model, not a curated record. NCBI's taxonomy places the organism in Eukaryota, Viridiplantae, Streptophyta, Magnoliopsida, Solanales, Convolvulaceae.
UAUUCUAGGAAACCCCGUAAUCCCGAGUCCCAACCAUUACUGAACACAACCAUGUAUGCUUUUAGGAUUGUACUGAAAACUAUCCUCCGUGAGUGAUCUUAGAAUUUUCCUUUGAAAACCUCAUAUGUAAGUUUUGUCGGGUAAAAUAAAGAAAGAAAAUCAUUUCACAA